Molecule: long non-coding RNA, 3707 nt
Organism: Sarcophilus harrisii (Tasmanian devil)
Lineage: Eukaryota; Metazoa; Chordata; Mammalia; Dasyuromorphia; Dasyuridae
Source: Ensembl
UGGCAGAUACCAAUGCAAUUAUUCAUAUAUUCACUUUUAAGGAUAUAGUUGGAAACUGUUUUUUAUUCAGCAUUCCGACCAUCAGAAAAGAUUCCUUUCAAUGCUGUGUUUUUCCUAACAUUUGUAAAGUUUGCAGCAUUAACUAGUGCGCUAAUGGGAAGAAAAUAAGCCUGAAUUUAUCUCUAUCUGCAGCAUAUAGCACAAAAAUGGGUGUUGCUGCUGCAAGUAGCCCAUAUGAUGGCAGUUCAUAAAUUAAGUUGAUCCAAGGUCUUUCUGUGCAUAUGUCAACAUAGGCUAGAAAUGUUUCAGUUUGAGGUUCUUUCAUAAUAGCUAUUCAUGGUAAAGUUAAAAAUGAAAGUAUGGAUGAUCACAAUCACUAGUGGGAAUGUUAUAUUUUUCUAUAGCUGGCACAGAGACAUUAAGACUUCCAUUUAGCUUUCUUGCAAUUUAUUUGUAUAAUCUCACAGCAAUUAAUCUGUAGACUUAUCAUAGAUACAGAUCUUUUCACAAAGAACAGAUUCAGCAAUCAAUUACUGGAGUCAUAAUCUCAUUGUCAUCCCAUAUAAUUGUGGAUCAAUUCUAGUUAAAUUUUGUUCUUUUCAUGAUUUUCCUAAGUUAUGUUUACAAAUAAGGUUGUCUAAGGAAUAUCAAUUAUUAAUAUCUGGCAGACUUCAGAGAGAAGAUGUAGUAUGGUCUAAUAAAGCAAGCAAUGGACAGGACCUUGGAAAAUCCAAACUCUCAUCUGGUCUGUACUAUACCAACAAGCUGCCUAUUGGGCAAGCCUUGUGUUCUUCCUGAACCUCAGUUGCCUCAUCAGUAAAAUGUUCAGUUUGUUCUAAAUCAUCACUUGUUUGUUUGUUUGUUUCUUACAUUAUGAUCCUUCAUGAUAUAUCUUUUUCCUCUUAUUGAACACUACAAAACGAAACUGAACAAAUGAAAACUGAGUAUAGAGAAGAUAGUUUAUCAAAAUAAGGGAAAACGAGGCAAGGCAGAAGAGAUAAAUUUGGAAGAAUAACACAUGUCCUGUUUUCACUAGUUCAUUUAAACUGCCUUUUUUUUUUCAUUGUAAUGGGAAAAUAGUGGAUUUUUCUACACUGAAUCACCAUGAAAAUGUUUCCUUUUAGUUGCAAUAUUUAUUUAUAUUUUCUACAUGAAUUUUGUACUUGUCAGUUUUUCUCUUACCAUGAAUAUAUUAUAAGAUAGUAUAGUGACAUAAUUUGAAUUAGCUGCAAGGUAAAAUUACAUUCCUGGCUUUCAUUCUCAUCUUUUUAAAAUUGCUGCAUAUUUUCUAUGUACAUGCCACUGUGCUAGGCGUUAUUAGGAUUUGUGAAAACCUUCAAAAAGGGAGGUGGUCCAAGCCUAUGAGAAGUUCAUAUUUUUAUAAUUUUUUAAGUUUAAUGAAACUUUAAAUUUUCACUUGAGUUAAUAUAGUUUAACUUGCAUAAUGUGUCAUAACCUUGCUAUGAGAAGUUUAAUUCUCAUAUUUGUGUUUUAAAAUGUAUAAUCUGUCAACACAAGUUUUCAAUUCUAGAUGACUUGAAAAAAGUUAUGUGCAGUACCUAAAAAGAGACCUGAAUUAUGGCAUUCAUAGGUUCUAUGUAUCUGUCUCAAAUUCUUUUAAAUAAGCCCUCAAACUAGGUAUAGUUAUAUGUUUGCCAAUUACUAAGCCUGAGAAAUUUUCUGAUAAGUAUUCUAAAGUAUCAAAAUAAGACCUUCCCUGAGAAUUCAAGUUAUAUAAAAGUUCAGUAUUGUUUUUCUGUUAUUUAGUUUUAUUUUUACUAACAUUCCAAAAGGAUUAUCCAAGUUUGAAGCUGAAACCUUUCAAUGAAUCGAGUUUUUUUUUUUUUUUUGGUUUACUUUUUUUUUUAACUAGAUUUGUGAUUUCAUCUAUACAGAAUGUUCCCCAUAUGAAAACUGUCGCCAUAGAUGUAGAUUGGCAACUUGUCUUUAAUUUAUAAUCUUAGAUUGCCCGUGACUCUGAGAGGGAACUUGCCCAUAGCCACAUAGUUGAUAUUUUGUCAGAGGUAAGACCUGAAAUCAUGUCUUCUUGACCAUAGACUUCUCAGUUGUUUUUGUAUUAAUAAAAGCAGAUAUGGGUCUAAAUGUUCUUAAUUUUCUCCACAAACAGGAAAAAAAAAAUUGUUGUAAAUUUGCCUUUCAGCUUUGUGCCUCAGCAACAAAACUAUAGUAGCUUGUAUAUUUGUAUAUGCUGUAGCUUAAAUGAUAUCUUCCUAAAUCUAAAGAUCAAAUGGUGUAAGGAUCCUAGUCUUAGAGGCAAUUGACUUAUAUUUCUGAAGGACUUUCAAUAAGCCAGUCUCUGGGCCUUAUGAAAAAUGGAGAUAAUCUGCUACCCAAGUAAUUGUGAAGAAAAUACUUUGUAGCUAUAAAGUACUACAUAAAUGUGAUCCAUUUUUAUUUUCUGGUAUUUUGUGCCUUUCCUAAGUGAAAAAAUGUUUUGAAACCUUUAUGUGAUGUGUAAUUGUAAUGACGAAGUAAUCCUUAUUGUAGAUGUGGUAGUUUUCUUUGCUCAGGAUUAUGUUUCAUAACACCAAAUGUGGUAUGCAUAUAUAUCACCCAUUUCUGAGUCUCAGCUUCCCCUCACCCUUGGACUAAGUUGACCAACCCAAUGUGUUUCUAACAUGCCCCAUGAAAGGAUACCAUUUUUGUUUACUUUAAAACUUAGAAUGUAGUUUCCCUCAGAUGAACACCAUCAUGUGCAGCAAUCAUCAGGGGAGAGUGCACUCCAUAUGCAUGCACACACCUUUCCAUUUAAGAGAGAGAGCUUGAUGAGAGCCUGUCAAUGUUUCUCCUUAAUCAGCAGGAAGGGGUCAUUUUUGAGUGACAUGAGGCACUUCUUCCCCCAGGCACUCUUCCACACCUCCUGCUGACAUCUAGAGAGCAAGACUUAGAAUGAUAAUUUGUUUUUAUAACGAAUAUGGCUUGAAUUAGAGGGUCACUGAUGACAUUGUUGGAGUUAGGUAGAUAGUAGGAACCAGACAACUUCAAGAUUGGUGACAUGGAGUACUGAACUGUUCCUGAAAACCAAAUUGCAAGAAAUGCCAAAUUAGAUUCUAAAAGUUAUGAUGGCAGAAUAUUCUUUGAUGUUUAAUUAAGCCUUAAAAUAACUUUUUCAUAUAUGAAAUACAGUAGGUAACAAAUUAGUUAGAAAGGGGUUUGGGGUGUUAUUUUGUGUGGUUUUUGAAGUACAGCAUACCCCUUAUAUGGAAGACAUUUUUUAUAUGGCAGUAGGAUUCUGGUAAGAGAAUUUGGUAAAUUUUAUACUUCAUUUGAUCCUAUAUCAUUUAAUAAUUGCAUGCUGUAUUCAUCAGUAAAGCUAGGAAGCCACACAUUUUAUAUUGAGAACCCUAUAACCUCUGGGUGAGUAUGUACUAAGGUGAAUUUAAGCAUAUCUUCAAUGUCCUUUUCCAGAUACAUUAAUAAAGUCAUUGUCAUCUUUAUCUUUCAAGAACUCUUAGGUUCUAGGGAAUCAGACACUUAUUAUAUACCUAAAUAUGCACACACACACACACAUACACACACCCUUUAAGUCCUGGUAAAUAACAUCUGAAGGUUGAAAGGUUGAAAAUUCACCCUAGCUACUGAUUUAUUUCUUAAUGUUUUAGCCUUUAUAUUCUUUCUAGUUGAUGAAAGAUCCAAGCACAAAUAUGGUCAGGAAAGUUUGAAUACUUAAGAUAAUUUGUUGAAGG